RNAcentral lists this long non-coding RNA (270 nucleotides) under Lathyrus oleraceus (garden pea). Its description in RNAcentral is "Pisum sativum (pea) long non-coding RNA (PSAT_LNC038338)". The record is from RNAcentral. Lineage: Eukaryota; Viridiplantae; Streptophyta; Magnoliopsida; Fabales; Fabaceae.
AACCACCACGUAGGCAUAUCUCUUCCCACCAAGACUUUCAACCUGCAUAGGUCCCAUUAAGUCCAUAUGCAACAGUUCCAGAACUCUGGAAGUUGUAGGAUGUCCCAGCUUCGGAUGUGACAUCUUGGUUUGCUUGCCCACCUGGCAUUCACCACAGACUCUUCCUUCAUCAAUAAGCAGCUUUGGGAUCCCUCUGACUGCUUCCUUGGAUAUAAUCUUCUUCAUUCCCCGUAAGUGGAGAUGUCCAAGUCGUCUAUGCCACAGCUUCAC